This is a long non-coding RNA of Oncorhynchus masou masou (cherry salmon), 11010 nucleotides long. RefSeq lists it as uncharacterized. The record is from RefSeq and is a predicted model, not a curated record. The transcript has 2 exons. NCBI's taxonomy places the organism in Eukaryota, Metazoa, Chordata, Actinopteri, Salmoniformes, Salmonidae.
CUCAGUGAUCACCUCGGUGACUCAGUGAUCUGUCGCAAGGGGCCAAAGAGAAACCUACAUCUACCUCAAGACAAAACAUUCCUAUGAGGGCUGGUAACUAUUUCCUUUUCAAGUGUACAAGAGGAUGUUCUGAAACUGGCAAAGGUUUCAGAAGAGUGGGAUGGAACGCCUAUAUCUCCUUCACUCUGCAGUCCAGGACAGACUUCAUGGUUGUUAUAGAAAGGCUGUAUGACAUCCACAACAGUCAUGAUCCCUCAGAUCCCCAAGACCAACACUGCAGCCAGAUCCACCCAACCCUGAGGAAGGAAAGAGAGCUGGCUACGUACCCACCUGCAGAGCUGGCUGCGUAUUGGGGGUAACACCGUCAAUGAUGCUGGUACUUGCACAGAAUUGGGCCAAGGCACGUGGGAAGUGACUGGAACACGGGAGAGUACUUUGACACCAGGGGACAUACAAAACAUCAGGAACACCAUGAUGCAGAGACAACAAAUGGCCAGAAAUGAUGCCAUCAAUGUCUCAGAAAAAUCACAGUGGAAACUAUUUCAUGAACAAUACAGCGACAACAAAAACCUUGCCCUUGUGCUGAUGACAAAAGAAAUUAGGAAAAACGUCAUGGCCUAUGAUAAGGUCACGGUCUUCAUGGACGCCACAAAUGGCCUCCCCAACUACGGCUUCCCUCUCUAUUCCGUCCCGCUUAGAGAAGCUCAUGGCCAUGGGGUGCCAGCUGCCUCGAUCAUUGCUCUGUGCAAGAGCAUACUUUUGCUGUUUUCACAGAGCGAUCCACAGGCCAACUUGCACACACACCAUUGCCAGGUCCUCACAUACCCGCAGGUAGAUGCAGAGGGCUGUGGCUGACAUCCUCUCUGGCCCAUCUGUAUGCCUCUUCAUCUCCUCCCAACUGAUGCUGUACGUAAUUUUUUUUUACCCCAUCACUUGAAUGCCUUCAAAAGAGAAGUAAACAUGUUUAAAUCCACAGUAACUGUCCUGCUUUUCUGAUUUGUAACCUACAGUAUUAGCCUAUACGAUUAGUAAGGGAUAAACGCAGAACCUCUGUACAUGAUCUGGAAAUAAUGGACAACAUAGCAGGGACGAUACACCAUAUGCUUUAGGUAUCCAAGGCCCUGCAACAGAUGAACGUCCUGUCCAGGGGUUGUACUUGUACAUCAAGCUGCCUCACACUACCGAAACAGGAGAUGCACUUUUUUUUAAUCUAGUUAAUUGAUUGGGUAGAGACAUCUACAUACCUGCACUCCUCAUUGCAUUCUCUGCCAACUGAAUCAUCUACUGCUCCUAGGGGCUUAUGUUCUUUACAAUGUGUUUGAGCUAAUCCACUGAGUAGCUUUAUCUUUAGUUUGCUCUUCAUUAGAUUACAAUUCAUUUUUACGUUAAUAUCUAUUAAAAAGUGUACUUACCAUCGCUAAUAAAUGUAGGAAAUGGAUAUUGUUAUAUGUAUGCAAUGGCGAAAUUAGCUAGCUAGCUACUUACCAGCAAAGGCUCCACAUUUAUGUUGUGCGGCAUAAUAUUUUGCACCUGAUUGGUCUGACGCUAAAAAUGAUGCUUCGCAGUGAUUGGCUCGAAUGUCCAACGACCCAGUGUCGUUUAAAAGGCCAUCUACCACGGAGACGGUAAAUUCGUUAAUCCUUUAGACCCAAAUAGAAUUCUAGAAGACUGCUGUAGAUUACUGAGAAUUUUCAAAAUGAGGCACAUUUUCUCACACAUUUCAAACAAACAGACAUAGCUCAAAAACAACGAAUAAAUCACAAAUCACAUAAUUUUAGAGAGCACACACUGGCACACACUGUCACUCCAACACAUACACACACAAACACUCACUCCAUCAUUUGCUCACUUGCACAUAAUAUGCACAUACAUUUGUACCGACGCUUCCCACCCGCGCACACCCACUCACAAUACAAGCUGCUUCUACUCUGUUAAUCAUAUACCCUGUUGCCCUUACCUGUAUACAGUACAUGGUACUGAGACUGACUUUUUAAAUAAUUCCUGAAUAUAGUAUGCCUACUUUCUUACUUACUUACUUAUUGUGUAUUCAAUAUUUGCUAUUAUGAUUUAUUGUGUGUUUAUUUUCUAGUUAUACGUUGUUAUUGGGUUUUGAGUUUGGAAGAACGACAUUUCACUGUACUUGUGCAUGUGACAUUAAAAACUUGAAACUUGAAACACAACCUCACCCACUAUAAAAACAAGAUUAACACUCAACACAAGAAAAAACUCUAGAAUAUUUCAAUUGUAGUACAUUUGAGUAAAUUACUCAAUCAAAAUGUACAAAGUAUAAUAUAGUAUAUUAAUAAAAACGAUUGGCAGGUAUGCCCUCACCCGUCUGUGCAGUCGACUGUGAAUGCCCUCACCUUCUAGUGCAAUUAUGCUGACUGUGAUUUGGGUUCUGACCCUCCACAGAAUGUCCUAUAUGAACAAUGCUGAUGCUCCUCUGGGUUCUGACCCUGCACAGGAUGUCCUAUAUGAACAAUGCUGAUGCUCCUCUGGGUUCUGACCCUGCACAGGAUGACAGGAUGUCUGGUAACCACAAUACUUCUUUUUUCAGGGUUUUUAUUUCAUUUUCACACACACACACACACACACACACACACACACACACACACACACACACACACACACACACACACACACACACACACACACACACACACACACACACACACAGUUUUGGUAAUAUAACAUGAAUCUUGACUGGGAGUGAAUCUGGGUGGAAUAGUACUUGUGUUUCUCUGAAUGAACAUGACAACAUAUCGCACCCUGUCCCUCCGGCCUUCCACGCUGCUGUGUGAUCUGAUUUGCCCCAGCACUACAGGGUAGUAAAUUACUCUGCGCAUGCACAAGCUCCAAGACCCAUCUGGGUGGGUUCUAGAAGCUCGCGCCAUGGCAGUGCAACAACCACUUUAAGGAUUGCUGAUAUCAUGGCCUUGUAGUUUCAAUGGAGUGGUGUAUAUAAAAAAAGUACAUGGUAUUGCGCAGAGGUGGAGCGCAUGAAGUCCACGCUUCUCCAAGGAGUUGUUUUGUGUCAAAUUCCUAUUUUUACGCAACUACUACUUUUGAUAUUCCAAGCAGAAAAUAGUGGCAUGGUGGCCAAGUGGAAGGUGUCAGUUUUGUUAACCAAAUCAUGGAUUCAAUCCCCGUCCGUGCCAUAAUGGAAGAUGACUGACAUCAUGGUAUUGGAGUUGUAUAUGAAACAGCACACUGUAAUGAUAUGGCAUUAUGUCUACCAAAGAAAGGGGAUGAGGUGCAACACAAUUGUGAGGUCCUUGGUUUUAUCGCCAGGUUCUCCAUGGAGUUAUUUGUUGUCAAAUUCAAGUUUGACAGCAAAUAAGAGCAGUGGUUGAUUAGCCUCAACCCACCUUCAGAGUGUAGCUCCAAUGUUUUCUGGGAUUUGCACAUUUAUACCACCGCUUCAUUCAGGACUACAGCACCCUCUCUCCAAAGGUUCUGUUCAAGUGGUCCCCAACUGCUGACCGGACUUCUUCAUAUCUGAAGUAUCGGUUCAUCACAGCCCCCAUCCUCAUGCAUCUGAACCUGUUCCAACUAUUCGCGGUAGAGGUCUAUGCUUCUGUUGUUGGAGUGAGGGCCGUCCUGUCCCAGGCCUGCAUCCCUGUGUCUUCCUGUCCCAUUGUCUCAAUCCCCCUGAGAGGAACUAUGGGCGGGGGUGGGCGGGGGCUCGGUCCCCGGGCCUGGAGUGGGCUCAUUCCUCUAAGCUAACCUGCCACCUGGCUCCCGCCGAACCCUUGCCUUCCUCCGACAAUGCUUUUGUUGGCCCACUAGUUUCUGACUUCUCCGCAUUUGUCGCAGCAUGCAUGGUGUGUGCUCAGAAUAAGACUCCGUGGCAAGCUUCGGCUGGCCUCCUUCAACCACUCCCUGUUCCUCAUCACCCCUGGUCCCAUAUAUCCCUGGACUUUGGCACUGGUCUCCCUCCUUAUGAUGGCAACACCACCAUCCCUACAGUGGUGGAUAGGUUUUCUAAAGCCACCCAUUUCAUCCCCCCCCCCCCAAGUUACCUUCAGCCAAGGAGAUGGCCCAGCUCAUCGUGCAGCAUGGACUUUCUGUCGACUUAGUCUCUGAUCGCCUCCUGUGUCUGCAUCUGGGUCAUAUCCUUAGUCGUGAUACCAAUUGUCAUACAUGAGUAAAGUAUAGAUACCUUGAUAGAAAAUUACUCAAGUAAAAGUCACCCAGUAAAAUAACAAAAGUAUUUGGUUCUAAAUUUUGUGGCAGACCAGGGGGUUUGGUCAAGACGUUUACACAGAUCAGACUCGGACAGAAUUGUAUUAGCUCAGUUUCAAGGGUGUUUAUUAAAUAACAAACAAAGAGAAAAGAAUAGGUCUCCUCCAGGUCUCCUCCCUCUCAAGUGUGCUCUCCCUCUUCCUCUUCCUCCUUCUCUCCCUCUGCUACUUUCUUUCCCUCCUCCUCUUCCCCCUCCUCUCCCUCUUCCUCUCCAUGUUCCUCUCCCUCCACUCUCCCUCCUCUUUACUCUCCUCUCUCCCUCCACUCUCCUCUCCUUCCCUCUCCUCUUCCUCUCUCCCUCCACUCUCCUCUUGCGCCACUCCUCCCUCCUCGCUCCACAUCUCUAUCCCUCCAAUCAUCUCUAACUCCUCUUCCUCCUUGCCUUUUGCUGCUGAGCUCACAUCACUCCCUUCCCUUUCACUGAUCUAGUGGAACAGAGUAACCGAAGGAGAGGAACAAAUAGAAUGCAAUAGUGGUCAGGAACAUAACCUCUCUCUCUUCCUCUCACACACAUCUCUCCCUUCCUCUUCCUUCCUCUCUUUCUCAACCAUACACAAACCAUUUUCCUAAGAAUGGGUGUCCAUAAUUCAUUGUGUGAUAUAGUUACAAGCCUCCCAUUCGAUACAUGCACUUUCUCUCUCUCUCUCUCGACUCCAAUCAACUAUUGCUUUGUUGCCUGACAGACUAACUACAUAGUUUACCAAUGUUAGCUGAUUAGUUACAAAGCUGGGUCAGUUUCCAAAUGAAUUGCAUCUGUAGAAACAGGAUACAACAAGCAACUUGUUAGCUGGCUAUGUAAACAUAUAUCCAACUCAUCAUAUGAGCUCCAUUGCACGGGCAUCUACACUGCCCUAACACAACAGCUAAGCUGUCAAAUAAUAGGAAAACGAGGCAAUGUAUAGCCGAUGAAUGUCUGCACCUAGCAAACAUGACAAACCAUAAACUAAGGCCAACAGAUAAACACAAAUUAGUCAAUCCAAUUCAGCGGCUAGUUAGCUGGUUGUCUGUAUGGCUAGCUAGUGAAAGUGACAGCUGAGGUUGAUGCUACAAGAGCGCAGCCCAACUUUUAUUUUCUCGCCUGACAGACUAACUAGCGUGCUAACUAUAGCAAGCAGCUUGGGCCGUUUCCAUUUGAAUUACAUUGGUAGAAACAAGGCAAAACAACCAAUUACACUGACCAAAAACAAAUAAAUGGAAUAUGUAAAGUGUUGGUCCCAUGUUUCAAGAGCUAAAAUAAGAGAUGCCAGAAAUGUUCCAUACAAGGUCAUUGACCACAGAUAAAAUGACGUCAAAUCACAUUAUAUCUACCAUAGCUUUGAUUUGAUUGAUACUUUCAAAAUCUUAGCUAGCAAGCUAGCAGUCAUUGUCAUGAAUCAAGUCGACAAUCAACUGGCAAAUUCUUAUCAAUCCUUGUCAUAUGAAGAGAAAUUAUGAAGAGAAAUUAUAGAUAAAACGUAUCGGUGCUGAUCGGCCAUUGGAGUUAAACAUUAUACAAUAAGUUUGAAAUUGCAAAUUCAACAAUGAGUUUGGAAGGAAUCAGUGGCUAAGCAUUGCAAAGCAAUCACUAGCCUGGUAUUCAGUGGAGUGGGUGUGUGGUCCAAGUCUGAGUUUAAGGGUCUCUUUUCCUGGCAAAUUUAAAAGAAUAAACAUUUAACAUUGGCCAUGCUGUCAAGCAGGCAUGACUUUUGCCGCAUUCAAAACAACUGGAAACUCGGAACUGGAAAAUCUCAGACUUCACUGAGUUUAAGGUAACUGGGAUCUUAGGAAAAAACAAGCUCCAACUUGGAAAAUAAGUUUUGAACGAUCAUCCAUAGCCUGUUUUAGCAAAAUGUAAUCAUUGAAUAUUGUCAAAGCUUUCCUUGUCUGCUUAUAUGCCCCCUUUAUUUAUCCUAUGGUCCUGACUUGGUGUACAGAGAGAAUGCUGUAAGAACGACCCAUGUUCUGAAUGCUAUCGCUGUACAUUUCAAAAGUGCUAAACAAAUAGUUAUAUUGACUACAUCCGUCCUAGAUCGCUCAUUAAUGUCUUAAUUUAAAUGUUGUAUUGCCUCUUAUCCGCUCGUCGUCACAUUAUGCCAUAGAUGUAUACAUCUCAAUUGUCAGUAGAAACCACAUUUGUUAAAGCAUAUUUUUUUCAAAGGCAGUAAAUGAGGCUGAAUGAACUGGUUCGCUGCCAGACAAGUCUCCGCUGAUAGCCAGGUGUAGCAGUGGUAAGGUGUUGGGACUGCAGUUGGAAAAGCUUUAUGUAGGCCCAGUUUGUGGGCACUGUUUGUCACUGUUAUAGUGCAAUUAAUGUACAGUAUUGUUUAGUGCUGUGUUGUGUAGUGGUUUUGCUGGCAUGCAUCCCACAAUUGAGCGAGGGGAGGGGGGGGAGUUUGCCCCACCAAGAUUUACAUGCCACUUUAAUAAUGGGACUUGAUGGGAAAUGAUGUAAAUAUAUAUCACUAGCCACUUUAAACAAUGCUACCUUAUAUAAUGUUACUUACCCUACAUUAUUCAUCUCAUAUGCAUACGUAUAUACUGUACUCUAUAUCAUCGACUGCAUCCUUAUGUAAUACAUGUAUCACUAGCCACUUUAACUAUGCCACUUUGUUUACAUACUCAUCUCAUAUGUAUAUACUGUACUCGAUACCAUCUACUGUAUCUUGCCUAUGCUGCUCUGUACCAUCACUCAUUCAUAUAUCCUUAUGUACAUAUUCUUUAUCCCCUUACACUGUGUACAAGACAGUAGUUUAGGAAUUGUUAGUUAGAUUACUUGUUGGUUAUUACUGCAUUGUCGGAACUAGAAGCACAAGCAUUUCGCUACACUCGCAUUAACAUCUGCUAACCAUGUGUAUGUGACAAAUAAAAUUUGAUUUGAUUUGAUUUGAAAAUCGCCACUGGGAAUACUUCUUCAAGACGUUUCCACUUCACAAUAACAGCACUUACAGUGGACUGGGGCAGCUCUAGCAGGGCAGAAAUUUGACAAACUUGUUGGAAAGGUGGUAUCCUAUGACGGUGCCACGUUGAAAGUCACUGAGCUAUUCAGUAUGGGCCAUUCUACUGCCAAUGGAGAUUGCAUGGCUGUGUGCUUCAUUUUAUAAACCUGUCAGCAAUGGGUGUGGCUGAAAUAGACAAAUCCAGUUAUUUGAAGGGGUGUCCUUAUACAUUUGUGUAUAUAUAGUCUAUAUUACACUGAACAAAAACAUAAACGCAACAUGUAAAGUGUUGGUCCCAUGUUUCACGAGCUAAAAUAAAAUAACCCAGAUAUGUUCCAUUCCCACAAAAAGCUUAUUUCUCUCAAGUUUGGUGCACAAAUUUGUUAACAUCCCUGUUAGUGAGCAUUUGUUCUUUGCCAAGAUAAUCUAUCCACCUGACAGGUGUGGCAUAUCAAGUAGCGGAUUAAACAGCAUGAUAAUUACACAAGUGCGCCUUGUGCUGGGGACAAUAAAAGGCCACUCAAAAAUGUGCUUUUUUGUCACUCAAGACAAUGCCACAGAUGUCUCAAGUUUUGAGGGGGCGUGCAAUUGUCAUGCUGACUGCAGGAAUGUCCACCAGAGCUGUUGCCAGAGAAUUUAAUGUUAAUUUCUCUACAUAUAGCCGCCUCCAACGUACAUCCAACCAGCCUCAAAUCAAAUCAAAGUUUAUUUGUCACGUGCGCCGAAUACAACAGGUGUAGGCCUUACAGUGAAAUGCUCACAACCACAGACCAUGUGUAUGGCGUCAUGUGGGUGAGCGGUUUGCUGAUGUCAACAUUGUGAAUAGAGUGGGUUUAUGGCACGGGCAGGCAUAAGCUACAGACAACGAACACAAUUGCAUUUUAUCAAUGGCUACUUGAAUGCCCCAAAAUACCAUGACGAACUCCUGAGGCCCAUUGCGAGGACUAUUUUCUUGAAGAUAUCUCUUACCAACAGAUGCAUAUCUGUAUUCCCAGUGAUGUGAAAUCCGUGGAUUAGUGCCUUAUGAAUUUAUUUAAAUCUUUGGAAUUGUUGCAUGUUCCAUGUUUAUAUUUUUGGUCAGUAUAUUUUCUACAAAUAACAUUUGGGUUAUUGUGCGUGGCCAAAGAGCUUGUUUGUCAAACUCCAGGUUGUACUAUGGUCAGAGGACAUGAAAAAGAGCUCUUUGGCCACCCUAACUCGAACUUCAUGGGAAUCCUAGCUAAUGUUAUGGGAAUGUUCCUAGUUUGCUGUGAUGAUGAAACAAUUGUUGUUUUUUUGGAAAACGUUUCUUUGGGACCAUCAGACGACAUCCUGAUAACUGAUGUACAGGAACAUUCUUGCAACGUUCCCAUGAAACAUGUCUAGAACAUUAACGUUUUAUAUUCUCAGAACAUGGCAACCAUGUUCUAUGUAUGUUUUGGUGGGACGUUGAUGGAAUAUUCACCUAACCCUCAGAACACAGGAGACUAAUGUUCUUGCAACGUUCCCAUGAAACAUGUUUAGAAUAUCUUAUAUUCUGAGAACAUGGCAAGCAUGUUUUGUAUACAUUUGGUGGGAUGUUGAUGGAAUAUUCUCCUAACAUGAAUGUUCUUACAACAUUCUCAUUUAACAUGUCAAUAAACGUAAUAUCUUAUACUCUGAGAACAUGAUAACCAAGUUUCGGGUAAGUUCUAUGUUACAUCAAGGAAUGGUCUCUUGGAAACAUUCUUUGCAUGUCUAUAAAGUUGUGGGAACGUUUGUUGUUCGCUAGGUUAUAGUUACAUGUCAUUUGCUGCAUGCAUGAUCACUCCUAUUAUUGCAAGGUCUCCCCUGGUUGGUCAUGUGGCAGCCCCACGCACCAGGCUGUCUCUCCGUCUCCUCCCUCCAGGUUCUCCCUUCACUCCGGAGCUGCCAGAGCCGCCCUUCACUCCGGCGCUGCCAGAGUCUCCCGCCUGUCCGGCGCUGCCAGAGUCUCCCGCCUGUCCGGCGCUGCCGGACUGUCCUUUUAUAAUCUCCUGUUCUUGGGAGUAUCAUCCUGUGUUGCAAACCAGCCACACCUGUUUCCUUGUGUAGAUAAAAACAGGAACUGAGAAUUCCGGCCAAGAACAGAAACUAUAAAGAUAUGUGCUUUUCACCGAGUGCUUCGGAAUUCAGACUGUCAACACACUCUGCUAUUCUCCUGAGCUCAUCAAAAUAAAGAAUCUUAGUUUGACUUGGACUCCAGCAAAUCCUUAUUUUAUAAUAUCCAACCCAGCCAACUGUAUAUUAACCAUGUCGUCGUUCAUAAGAUAUUACAGUUUUUAAUGUCCCGUUGGUAGGAUAGUCUCGAACGGAGAUCAUUCAGUUGUUGUUGUGUUGUGGUUUGUUGAGCAAGUACUUCCAAUGAUUGUGUGCUUUGGUGGGAGUUUGUGUUGAUAACAGAGUCCACAUUGCUGGAUUAAGUUGGGUGAGACAGGCUGAAUCUGCAUGGAGAGCUCUCAGCUGUUUUGUAAGCAGUGCGCUCAUGAUUUAUGCUCUUCUCUAUUCAGUUGUGGGGACUUGGAGUCGGACACACGCACCAUAUCUACCUAAAACAUAUUUAGCUGCCCUUACGAAAAAAGAUUACGGGCAGAGUGCAGUAUAACUGCAGUAAUUUUGCAGUGUAAAUGCAGUUAGAGUGCAGUAUAAUUGCAAUACACUGCAGUUACUCUGCAAUCACUGCAUCUAAAAUACCACAGUAGACUGCAGCUACUGCAAUUUUACUGCAGUUUUAAAACUGCAAUCUUUUUUUGUAAAGGUAGACAGCAAUUAAACUUUGAAGCCAUUUUCUCAGUUUUAGUUUGCAUAGUUACUGAUCUUUCACUUUGUAUGUCAGAGCAGGUAACUGCAGUCAAAACACAGUGGAACAAAGCCAUAGUGCAGUAACUUCACUUGCUGUUUGCCUUGGUUUUUUACUUGGAUUUUGUAGUUGCUGCAAAUUUCACACUCCACUUUCUCUCAAAUGGAACAUAAUUGAACACUUUGUCACAAGAUAAAACAGAUACUACAAAGACUGAUUUCAAUCUUAACUCAAUUUUGGCCAAAAGUGUAGUUACUGCAUUUAUCCUUUGUAGGGCAGUGUAGUACUGUCUACUGUAAUAUUUACUGUAGUGCUUUUGCAGACAUUUCUGUAGUAUUUACUAUAGUGUUUUUGUUUAAUUAUCUUUGACAUAGAAGUGAAGGCUCUGCUUGAGGAAACAGUAAAAUAGUCUAUAAUCUGUAGUUAGGUACAAGGGCUCUGAACAGACAGGUUCGAGCUUCUACUCUUUCCUGUAACCUGUAGAAAACACAAUAUAUGAUAUAUAUUUGCCAUGUACAUUAGGUUUCUCACUUAUGGGUGGCACAAAUUGGGAUAUGGGGGAGUAGAAUGGGCAGGGUGUAUGCAAAUUAAAUACUGUAGUAUUUACUAUAGUUUAAAAGUGUCGUGUUUUUGGGGACAUUAGUAUUUACUAGUCUUUUUUCCCUCAGAUAAUACUGUCAUCUUGUCAUCUCUUUUUCCCCAAUACUGUCAUAUUGGGGCGACGAGGAGAGCAGGGUUGCAAAAUGCAAUCAUAUCUGUGACGCCACCUCCCUGCUCUGUCUCCUGGGUUUUGCUGUGCUUACUUCCUGCAGGAGAUUGGUGGGCGGAGCUGGGAGGGUCGUCAGUGCUGAUGCUGACCUGUGAAAGCACAGCUGUGGCAUAAAGCCCCUGUUUCCCCAUUCAGCAAGAGAUUCCUCUCACCAUGCAUACUUUUGGUUGUUUUGUUGUGGUUUUGACAGUUGACACCUAAUUUACUGACCUUCAUGCCUCAUCUGAUUAUUGUUGUGAUUUUUUACUUUACUUAUGGAAUAAAUUUGUUUUGUUAUUCCUUUA